GAUAACAUUCUGAAGUUUUCUUUACUUUAAAGAGGCACUUUAAUUAUGCCUUAAUUCUAAUCGUUUUACAUAUAGUUCUAUAAUUGAAAAUAGAUUUUCGAAAAGGAUGGAGUCCCCCUCACAUGCUUCUGCAACUAUUUACUUAACAUUCUGCUCAACAAACGGUCACACUGCUGUUAUAAUCCUAAUUGCUUACUAAGAACUUAAUAGUCCAACUGACGGCUCAACCAACUGAUUCUCCAGGACCUCAAAUACUUUCCAUCAGUAGCAUGCGACACAUGAUGAGUCCUGCUGAACCGGGAGGCUGGUCACCUCAACUAUUUCGACUAAAGAACUUGGAACAAAUAGAGAAGAUGGAAGAGGAAAUGAAUGAUCCCAUCAAAUCAUUGAUUUAAGUAAAUUUAAACAUUCAGUUUGAGCAUUCUUUAUAAAGUGUUUUCUAUUACCUAGAUUCAAACCAUGCGAAACAUUUUGAAACCCGGUGGUUCGGUGGGUCACCCCGACCUGGAGGUUUCAAAAAACAAUUUCAUCUUAUACUCGCCCUAGACUUUUUGGUUGAUUUCAAUUUUGACGGCAUCCACAAUAAAAUACAUCUCAAGGAGUUUGGAAAUUUCAACAACGCUUUGUUUAUAGCACAUACAUAUACAUAUAUGACUUCUUUUUUAAAUUAAAAUUCAUUAAAUUUCAGAAGCUCAAAAGCAGGUAGAAUAUUUUAGAGAUGACUACGUCGCUGAAAUCAGACUGGCGUUCCGAGUUUACAAAAAUCUCAGGCAUAAAAGUGCAUCAGAUACUCGGAAAAAAAUUAAAGAAGCCAC
Molecule: long non-coding RNA, 815 nt
Filed under: Drosophila melanogaster (fruit fly)
Lineage: Eukaryota; Metazoa; Arthropoda; Insecta; Diptera; Drosophilidae
Description: long non-coding RNA:CR42875
Source: RNAcentral